RNAcentral lists this ribosomal RNA (468 nucleotides) under uncultured bacterium. RNAcentral describes it as "partial 16S ribosomal RNA". It matches the Rfam family "Bacterial small subunit ribosomal RNA", at positions 28 to 507 of the family's 1533-position model. The record is from RNAcentral.
GACGAACGCUGGCGGCGUGCUUAACACAUGCAAGUCGAACGGAAAGGCCCUGCUUUUGUGGGGUGCUCGAGUGGCGAACGGGUGAGUAACACGUGAGUAACCUGCCCUUGACUUUGGGAUAACUUCAGGAAGCUGGGGCUAAUACCGGAUAGGAGCUCCUGCUGCAUGGUGGGGGUUGGAAAGUUUCGGCGGUUGGGGAUGGACUCGCGGCUUAUCAGCUUGUUGGGUGGGUAGUGGCUUACCAAGGCUUUGACGGGUAGCCGGCCUGAGGGGGUGACCGGCCACAUUGGGACUGAGAUACGGCCCAGACUCCUACGGGAGGCAGCAGUGGGGAAUAUUGCACAAUGGGCGGAAGCCUGAUGCAGCAACGCCGCGUGCGGGAUGACGGCCUUCGGGUUGUAAACCGCUUUCGCCUGUGACGAAGCGUGAGUGACGGUAAUGGGUAAAGAAGCACCGGCUAACUACGUG